RNAcentral lists this transfer RNA (72 nucleotides) under Ornithorhynchus anatinus (platypus). It matches the Rfam family "tRNA". From Rfam's summary of the family: Transfer RNA (tRNA) molecules are approximately 80 nucleotides in length. The record is from Rfam by way of RNAcentral. Lineage: Eukaryota; Metazoa; Chordata; Mammalia; Monotremata; Ornithorhynchidae.
AGCAGAAUGGCCUAGUGGAAAGAGCCCAUGACUGGGAAUCAGAAGACUUGGGUUCUAAUCCUGACUCUGCUC